GUUAUCAAGCACAAUAAAUUUUUACACGAAUGCCAUCCAGAAAAGAAAAGCACAUCUCUGCUCAAAUAAUUCAAACUUAACUAGAUAAGCCAUACUUACUUAAACAUACCAAGAAACCUGGUGAUAUUUGUUAAAAACCAAAAAUGUGAGUCGAUCAAUCUUCUAAUUUCACAUAAGAGGCUAAAAAUUUGCUUAUGUUAUGUUUGGAUGCGAUGAUUUGAAAGAAGAGAUUUGGAUUUGGAUUUAAUUUUAGUUUAAAUAGUGCAAAUAAAAUUUGAUUCAUUGUUUACUAUAACUGUAGUUGAAAACUUAUUUGAAGUGAAUUUCAUAGGACAUAUCAAAUCAACACUUAAAAGAUUUUUUUUUU
RNAcentral lists this unclassified non-coding RNA (367 nucleotides) under Hevea brasiliensis (rubber tree). The record is from RNAcentral. Lineage: Eukaryota; Viridiplantae; Streptophyta; Magnoliopsida; Malpighiales; Euphorbiaceae.